Molecule: long non-coding RNA, 589 nt
Organism: Saccostrea cuccullata (small rock oyster)
Lineage: Eukaryota; Metazoa; Mollusca; Bivalvia; Ostreida; Ostreidae
Exons: 2
Source: RefSeq, a predicted model, not a curated record
GGGGAUAUCAUUUAGUGAUCUCAUUGCUCACAUUACCUCUAGUUUAAUUAUAUUAAACAAUGAUAAAAUGACACAAACGCAUUGACAAUAUAUGACUGCUCCUCUUUAUUUGCUAAUGUAAAAGCAAAAAAAAACAAUCAAAAAACAAAAAACAAAAAACAAAACAACAACAAAACAAAACAAAACAAUGUAGAAGGAGUGCUUAAAUAAUAGAGCAGUUGUAUUUAUUUGUACUUUGAAUUUCUUAAUUUACUGUAAAUCACCUUUUAUUUUCAACUUUAAACUUUAUUUUUCGCGAAAUUACCGGGCUUUCUUUAUAAAAAGUAGUUGUAGUUGUUUUCAAUACAGUUGUUCGAAGUUGCAUGAGAAUACUUUGUUCUUUGGGCUGUCAAAUCCAUAUUGUCUUCUUGAAAGAAGCGCAUCUCCUUUAAAUCCCUCUGUUUUUCUUUCAUUUUGCUCUGAAUAUCGUUAAAUGAACAGCACUAGCUUUAGAAGCACGUUGUUGGAAAUUCCUCCAUGUUUCUUUGAUUUUGCGUUGAAUAUCGUACCAACUUCAGAAGCAGUUAUGUAAGUUUUGUUAGUACAAAAA